RNAcentral lists this ribosomal RNA (465 nucleotides) under Triticum aestivum (bread wheat). RNAcentral's name for it is "partial small subunit ribosomal RNA". Lineage: Eukaryota; Viridiplantae; Streptophyta; Magnoliopsida; Poales; Poaceae. The record is from RNAcentral.
AUGGCUAAGGAAGAAGAGCUCAAGAGAGUUGAUUUGAAGGUGAACGUGAGCUGCUGCGACGGCUGCAGGAGGAAGGUGAUGAAGGCCAUGAACCUCAAGGGCGUGCUGAGGACGGAGAUCCACCCGUCGCUCGACCGGGUCACCGUCGUCGGCAACGUCGACACCAAGGUGCUCGUCAAGAAGCUCGCCAAGGUCGGCAAGAUCGCCGAGGUGGUGGAGGCGGCGGUGCCCGAGCAGCAGAAGAAGCGCGAGGGCGAUGUUUAUUUCCUGGAAUCCUAUGUUGAACUGUUGAUCGAGCAAAAUCACAUCGCGAUGCAUUUCUCGCGACGCAACAUCUCAGAGAAAUUUAUCAGACCGCAAGAGUUAGUGCUUCUCCAAUCACACCCCGCAAAAAACCUACCGCAUCCGUCUGGACGGAGGACCAGUCCACAGACACGGAUGCAGGAGGAUGUCAUCCAAUCGUAG